This 304-nucleotide ribosomal RNA is filed under the name Penicillium polonicum. RNAcentral's name for it is "eukaryotic LSU rRNA". The stretch from base 5 to 156 matches the Rfam family "5.8S ribosomal RNA". Rfam says of the family: 5.8S ribosomal RNA (5.8S rRNA) is a component of the large subunit of the eukaryotic ribosome. It is transcribed by RNA polymerase I as part of the 45S precursor that also contains 18S and 28S rRNA. Lineage: Eukaryota; Fungi; Ascomycota; Eurotiomycetes; Eurotiales; Aspergillaceae. The record is from RNAcentral.
UUAAAACUUUCAACAACGGAUCUCUUGGUUCCGGCAUCGAUGAAGCACGCAGCGAAAUGCGAUACGUAAUGUGAAUUGCAAAUUCAGUGAAUCAUCGAGUCUUUGAACGCACAUGCGCCCCCUGGUAUUCCGGGGGGUAUGCCUGUCCGAGCGUCAUUGCUGCCCUCAAGCCCGGCUUGUGUGUUGGGCCCCGUCCUCCGAUUCCGGGGGAUCGGGCCCGAAAGGCAGCGGCGGCACCGCGUCCGGUCCUCGAGCGUAUGGGGCUUCGUCACCCGCUCUGUAGGCCCGGCCGGCGCUUGCCGAU